GCUCUAGUAGUUUACAAAAAACAUUGGCCUUGUAAGCCAAAGAAUGAAGGUAGACCCUUCUUAGAGUU
Molecule: transfer RNA, 68 nt
Filed under: Poicephalus fuscicollis (brown-necked parrot)
Lineage: Eukaryota; Metazoa; Chordata; Aves; Psittaciformes; Psittacidae
Description: Poicephalus robustus fuscicollis (brown-necked parrot) partial tRNA-Thr
Rfam family: tRNA
About the family: Transfer RNA (tRNA) molecules are approximately 80 nucleotides in length.
Source: RNAcentral